GAUGAAGAACGUAGCGAAAUGCGAUAAGUAGUGUGAAUUGCAGAAUUCCGUGAAUCAUCGAAUCUUUGAACGCACAUUGCGCCUUCUGGUAUUCCGGAAGGCAUGCCUGUUCGAGCGUCAUUGCUGCCCUCAAGCACGGCUUGUGUGUUGGGCCUCCGUCCUCCUCCCGGGGGACGGGCCCGAAAGGCAGCGGCGGCACCGCGUCCGGUCCUCGAGCGUAUGGGGCUUCGUCACCCGCUCUUGUAGGCCCGGCCGGCGCUUGCCGACACAUCAAUCUUUUUUCCAGGUUGACCUCGGAUCAGGUAGGGAUACCCGCUGAACUUAAGCAUAUCAAUAAGCGGAGGA
RNAcentral lists this unclassified non-coding RNA (345 nucleotides) under soil metagenome. Its description in RNAcentral is "partial contains 5.8S ribosomal RNA, internal transcribed spacer 2, and large subunit ribosomal RNA". The stretch from base 1 to 120 matches the Rfam family "5.8S ribosomal RNA", at positions 35 to 154 of the family's 154-position model. The record is from RNAcentral.